This 777-nucleotide ribosomal RNA is filed under the name uncultured Neocallimastigales. Its description in RNAcentral is "partial large subunit ribosomal RNA". It matches the Rfam family "Eukaryotic large subunit ribosomal RNA", at positions 24 to 634 of the family's 3401-position model. Lineage: Eukaryota; Fungi; Neocallimastigomycota; Neocallimastigomycetes; Neocallimastigales. The record is from RNAcentral.
CAAGCGACUAUCGUGCAUAUCAAUAAGCGGAGGAAAAGAAACUAACUAGGAUUCCCUCAGUAACGGCGAGUGAAGCGGGAAGAGCUCAAAUUUGAAAUCUUCAAGGUUCUACCUUGACGAAUUGUAGUUUAAAGAAGUGUUUUCUGUUGGAGUUUUGGUAAAAGUUCUUUGGAAUAGGACAUCAUAGAGGGUGAGAAUCCCGUAUUUGACCAUUAUUUUCAGCUGUGUGAUACACUUUCAAAGAGUCGGAUUGUUUGGGAAUGCAGUCCAAAAUGGGUGGUAAAUUUCAUCUAAAGCUAAAUAUUGGCGAGAGACCGAUAGCGAACAAGUACCGUGAGGGAAAGAUGAAAAGAACUUUGAAAAGAGAGUUAAACAGUACGUGAAAUUGUCAAAAGGGAAGCGUUUGACACCAGUGUUGUUUUCUCCGAAAAUCAAUUAAAAAAGGCCGGAUUUUGUGUUGUAUUGACCUUAAAAGCUUUCUUCACUCUUUUCUUGUCUUUUUUAAUGCACUUUUCGUUUAACAAGUCAACAUCAGUUUCUUUUGUUGUAAAAGGGUCAUUGGAAGGUGGCUUUCUUUUCGGAGAAAGUGUUUAUAGCCUUUGCUCUCUGCAAUCGGAGAGAUUGAGGUCUGCAGCGUAGACUCCUUCGGGGUUAGAUACAUUUGUGCUAAGCUGAUAGCCUUUUCAUAGACAACUUGUUGACUAUGAUCAGUCAUGUAGCUUACUUGCUUAUGUCUAUUUUACCUACGCUUAGGAUGUUGAUAUGCAUGACUGAUAU